RNAcentral lists this ribosomal RNA (429 nucleotides) under Gemmatimonadota bacterium. RNAcentral's name for it is "Gemmatimonadetes bacterium partial 16S ribosomal RNA". It matches the Rfam family "Bacterial small subunit ribosomal RNA", at positions 355 to 776 of the family's 1533-position model. Lineage: Bacteria; Pseudomonadati; Gemmatimonadota. The record is from RNAcentral.
UAGGGAAUCUUCGGCAAUGGACGAAAGUCUGACCGAGCAACGCCGCGUGAGUGAAGAAGGUUUUCGGAUCGUAAAACUCUGUUGUUAGAGAAGAACAAGGACGUUAGUAACUGAACGUCCCCUGACGGUAUCUAACCAGAAAGCCACGGCUAACUACGUGCCAGCAGCCGCGGUAAUACGUAGGUGGCAAGCGUUGUCCGGAUUUAUUGGGCGUAAAGCGAGCGCAGGCGGUUUCUUAAGUCUGAUGUGAAAGCCCCCGGCUCAACCGGGGAGGGUCAUUGGAAACUGGGAGACUUGAGUGCAGAAGAGGAGAGUGGAAUUCCAUGUGUAGCGGUGAAAUGCGUAGAUAUAUGGAGGAACACCAGUGGCGAAGGCGGCUCAAUGGUCUGUAACUGACGCUGAGGCUCGAAAGCGUGGGGAGCAAACAGG